RNAcentral lists this ribosomal RNA (454 nucleotides) under uncultured Prevotella sp. RNAcentral's name for it is "bacterial SSU rRNA". It matches the Rfam family "Bacterial small subunit ribosomal RNA", at positions 341 to 792 of the family's 1533-position model. Lineage: Bacteria; Pseudomonadati; Bacteroidota; Bacteroidia; Bacteroidales; Prevotellaceae. The record is from RNAcentral.
ACGGGAGGCAGCAGUGAGGAAUAUUGGUCAAUGGGCGAGAGCCUGAACCAGCCAAGUAGCGUGGAGGAAGACGGCCCUAUGGGUUGUAAACUCCUUUUAUGCGGGAAUAAAAGAGACUACGUGUAGUCUAUUGCAUGUACCGCAAGAAUAAGGACCGGCUAAUUCCGUGCCAGCAGCCGCGGUAAUACGGAAGGUCCGGGCGUUAUCCGGAUUUAUUGGGUUUAAAGGGAGCGUAGGCCGGGUUUUAAGCAUGUUGUGAAAUGUAGAUGCUCAACAUCUGCACUGCAGCGUGAACUGGAGCCCUUGAGUGCGCGGGAAGUAGGCGGAAUUCGUCGUGUAGCGGUGAAAUGCUUAGAUAUGACGAAGAACUCCGAUUGCGAAGGCAGCUUACUGUAGCGUAACUGACGCUGAAGCUCGAAAGUGUGGGUAUCGAACAGGAUUAGAUACCCUGGUA